Capsella rubella is the source of this 1039-nucleotide long non-coding RNA. RefSeq lists it as uncharacterized. The record is from RefSeq and is a predicted model, not a curated record. Lineage: Eukaryota; Viridiplantae; Streptophyta; Magnoliopsida; Brassicales; Brassicaceae. The transcript is spliced from 2 exons.
UAAUAUUUAUAUCCUCAUGGACCAUACCAAAAUGGGCAAAAUAUUUAAUCAAAAGCCCAAUAAGAGAAUGUCGUAAGCCCGAUAAAAAACCAAAACCCUAGAUUGCCGAGAAAACAAAACCAUCACCGCUAUAUAACUUAGUGACUAAUCUCUCAAAUCUUAAAAUCUACAGACCGAUCUGUUCCUCCGCAGUUAUCAUCCUUCUCUUCUGAAAAAAAUCGAUUAUGGCUAAUCUAAAAGAGAUCAAUGAUGAGAUAUUAGCAGACGGGCGGUCUGAAUUGAUGCCGUGUAGAUUGUCUGCCAUCGCUACUCUUUGUAGCUUCUCUGAGUUUCUGAAUCUAUUUUCGAAUUUUUUAUACCUAUUGAUAUAGGUUCUAUAGUGGUUAUAUUGCGAUGAUGAUGUUGCUUAUAUAUAUGUCUGGACUUAUGAGAUUUUUACAAUCUUUGAAAUAAUUGUGCAACCUUCUGAGCUAUCUUUCUUUUUCUUUCUUUCAAAAUUCUGUGUUAUCUGUGUAGUUCGUUAAUUACCAAUUACAUUCUGACUAAACGAAACUUAUAUCUAGAACUGGUUAUACAUUAAAAAGGAUAAACAGCCAAGCGUGAUUUACUUUAAACAAUUAUUUGCAAAUGAUCUCAGUAGAUUUACUAUUUUUUUUAAUUAAUCUCUAAUUGGUUGAUCCUAUUCUAAUUAACUGGUAUUGAUUCGGAGUUACAACUUCUCAUGGUGCUUGGUACUUUCGGUGAUGUUAGUGAUUAUGAAAUCGGCGUUAGUAUGUUGUCUUGACCUCUCUUAAGAAUCUAAAUUGAGGACUCCUCCAUGCUAACUACGAAGCAGUUGAAGACAUGUUAGGAAGACUGUUUUUGGACCAAAAUCGUGUUUCGUAAAAUUUGGAAGAACGUCUAGAUUUUUUCGUACAGUUUCGUUUUUGCUGUAUCAGAUAAUUGCUGAAUGUUUCGGAUGUAACAAUUUUAGUACUGCAAUUCUAAUCAAAUUUCUGUAACUCUUUUUUUUUAAAUAUAAUUUCAAACAUUUUUUAAA